RNAcentral lists this ribosomal RNA (346 nucleotides) under uncultured bacterium. RNAcentral describes it as "partial 16S ribosomal RNA". It matches the Rfam family "Bacterial small subunit ribosomal RNA", at positions 338 to 681 of the family's 1533-position model. The record is from RNAcentral.
CCUACGGGCGACUGCAGUGAGGAAUAUUGGUCAAUGGGCGUAAGCCUGAACCAGCCAAGUCGCGUGAGGGAUGAAGGUUCUAUGGAUCGUAAACCUCUUUUAUAAGGGAAUAAAGUGUGGGACGUGUCCUAUUUUGUAUGUACCUUAUGAAUAAGGAUCGGCUAACUCCGUGCCAGCAGCCGCGGUAAUACGGAGGUACCGAGCGUUAUCCGGAUUUAGUGGGUUGAAAGGGUGCGUAGGCGGCCUUUUAAGUCAGCGGUGAAAGUCAGUGGCUCAACCAUAGAAUUGCCGUUGAAACUGGGGGGCUUGAGUAUGUUUGAGGCAGGCGGAAUGCGUUGUGUAGCGG